Molecule: small nuclear RNA, 104 nt
Organism: Jaculus jaculus (lesser Egyptian jerboa)
Lineage: Eukaryota; Metazoa; Chordata; Mammalia; Rodentia; Dipodidae
Source: Ensembl
AUUAAAAAUAAUCAAACAGUGCUCGCUUCGGAACGAUACAGAGAAGAUUAGGAUGGCCCUUGUGCAAGGAUGACAUGCAAAUUCGUGAAGCGUUCCAUAUUUUU